This is a non-coding RNA of Misgurnus anguillicaudatus (oriental weatherfish), 503 nucleotides long. The record is from RefSeq and is a predicted model, not a curated record. NCBI's taxonomy places the organism in Eukaryota, Metazoa, Chordata, Actinopteri, Cypriniformes, Cobitidae.
AUUUUACCCCUGGUUAUUUGUUAUAGUUCUAUUGUUUAUUUCUCUAACUACUUACAACAGUCACAAAGGUUAGACAGUCAUAAAAUAAAUGCAUAGUAGACCAUAUGCAGAACCUAAUAUAGGAUUCAAAUACUUCCUUGUGGGUAAUAAAUAACAUUGAUAUCGUAAUUGUUAGGUAGAUACUUUCUGUGUUUAGUCUUUUUGAAUUACAGGCUAAGAAGGAACAGAAAAAUCCAUGAUCAGAUGCUGUAAAUAUCAACAUUGACCCACUGUGUUACUUAAACUUAAUCCCUAUAGCCAAACAUAAUCUAAACAUCAUGCUAAAAAUGAAAUUCAUCUGUUUGCUUUUUUGUUUUGUUGUUUCCUUAAUAGGGCAAAGCAGACAUUUUGGUGGACUGGGAGCCCUGUCCAGUAUGUGAUGAGAUUUGGACCCAUCCCUGGCAGCCAAAGGAUUCUCUCCAAAUUAAUUAAAAUAAUUAAAUAAAAAUUGUAUUACACUAAAA